GUCGGUAUAGUUUAGUGGAAGAACAUUAGGAACUUAAAUCUAAGACCCACGUUCGAUUCGUGUGUGCCGACC
Molecule: non-coding RNA, 72 nt
Organism: Dendryphion nanum
Lineage: Eukaryota; Fungi; Ascomycota; Dothideomycetes; Pleosporales; Torulaceae
Source: the annotation of a GenBank genome assembly